This 73-nucleotide transfer RNA is filed under the name Camelus bactrianus (Bactrian camel). It matches the Rfam family "tRNA". From Rfam's summary of the family: Transfer RNA (tRNA) molecules are approximately 80 nucleotides in length. Their secondary structure includes four short double-helical elements and three loops (D, anti-codon, and T loops). RNAcentral also lists the same sequence under 2 other names. Lineage: Eukaryota; Metazoa; Chordata; Mammalia; Artiodactyla; Camelidae. The record is from Rfam by way of RNAcentral.
GGUGCUAACAGCUCAGUGGUAGAGCACGUGCUUAGCACGCACCAGGUUCUGGGUUCAGUCCCCAGUACCUCCA